GCACACAAUGUGGAGGUGGUCAGCCAAAUCUAAACACAAUCAGACCCCAAUGCGACUUUUAUGCGUCUACACCCGUCUUUUCAAUGCGAUAUUCGUAUUCAGAUAGCAGAAGUCGUAUAAGUGUCAAGUGUAGACACGACCUGAGGAGCGACAAACAAGCGAACAAGUUUGUCACACUUUUUUUCGCAAUGACCCGAGGAGCGACAAACAAGCUUGUCACACUUUUUUCGCACUUGAUCGUUUCAAAUCCACGUAUCCAUAAUUAGUUAUUAAACACCACUCCUGAUCCGGGACUCAAAUUGGCUAUUUGCACUUCAAGGAAAACACUGUCACUACUGCUCAGGAAUGCAUCCUAGUCCAUCUACUAUCCAGUUCGUUCUCACCUCAGUGGCAGCAGUCUUGAACCGGGUGCGAGGAUGCUGUGGCCAUUAUUGGAGACGUUACACUUCAGAAGAGGAUACGUUAUCUCUUCCUGUAAAAGAAACCCAACCAGCACCUCUCUCCAGCUCUGUGAGACCCUGGGUUUUGGAUGUUCAUCAUGGCCUGGCCCUGGCAUAUGGGGAUUCAAAUGAGCUGCACUGAAGAGAACAUGUGAAAGGCUCUUCUCUACUCCGUUUGCAUUCUUUUUUAUACCCCCUGCUUGGCCUGCUCUUAGCCUGGUAGAUGAUCGGUCUGUUUCAGCCAGAUCCUGUUGAGCUCAUGCCAAACAUAAAAAGUACAUAUAACAUCUGAAACCAGGGUAUGUACAG
Long non-coding RNA from Coregonus clupeaformis (lake whitefish), 749 nucleotides. RefSeq lists it as uncharacterized. The record is from RefSeq and is a predicted model, not a curated record. NCBI's taxonomy places the organism in Eukaryota, Metazoa, Chordata, Actinopteri, Salmoniformes, Salmonidae. The transcript is spliced from 3 exons.